GGUCCUAUAGUGUAGUUGGUUAUCACCCAAGGUUUUGAUUGUUACAAAAAACUUCCUUGUAACUCCGGUUCGAAUCCGGAUAGGACCU
Candida dubliniensis CD36 is the source of this 88-nucleotide non-coding RNA. Lineage: Eukaryota; Fungi; Ascomycota; Pichiomycetes; Serinales; Debaryomycetaceae. The record is from the annotation of a RefSeq genome assembly.